Molecule: ribosomal RNA, 448 nt
Filed under: uncultured bacterium
Lineage: Bacteria
Description: bacterial SSU rRNA
Rfam family: Bacterial small subunit ribosomal RNA
Source: RNAcentral
UCGAGAAUUUUUCUCAAUGGGGGAAACCCUGAAGGAGCGACGCCGCGUGGAGGAUGAAGGUCUUCGGAUUGUAAACUCCUGUCAUUAGGGAACAAUUGUCGCCGAUUAACUACCGGCGGCUUGAUAGUACCUGAAGAGGAAGAGACGGCUAACUCUGUGCCAGCAGCCGCGGUAAUACAGAGGUCUCAAGCGUUGUUCGGAUUCAUUGGGCGUAAAGGGUGCGUAGGUGGUGCCGUAAGUUGGGUGUGAAAUCCCGGAGCUUAACUCCGGAACUGCAUUCAAUACUGCGGUGCUCGAGUACUGGAGAGGAGAUUGGAAUUCACGGUGUAGCAGUGAAAUGCGUAGAUAUCGUGAGGAAGACCAGUGGCGAAGGCGGAUCUCUGGACAGUUACUGACACUGAGGCACGAAGGCCAGGGGAGCAAACGGGAUUAGAUACCCCCGUAGUCC